Long non-coding RNA from Drosophila erecta, 676 nucleotides. RefSeq lists it as uncharacterized. The transcript is spliced from 2 exons. NCBI's taxonomy places the organism in Eukaryota, Metazoa, Arthropoda, Insecta, Diptera, Drosophilidae. The record is from RefSeq and is a predicted model, not a curated record.
GCGAAUUUUGCAAAACAAAACGGCCGGCCGUUUGGAAAAGUCGGAAGAAAGUCAGUUAGCAAGUGGAAAUCACCGGAAAACCUACACAGCGCGGCAGAAGGAAAAUAGUGAAAAUCGUAGAAGCUUACACCGCAGACGGGAAAUAUAAAAAGCCAAAAAGCAGCUCCGACAAGCAGCGCAGUCGACGCUGGCAGCGCCGAGGGCAGAUAACCAUAGUUAAUAACAAUAACAAAGCGGAAUAAAAACAAAAGAGCGAAGCACAUGAAAAGAUAAUAAGUAGAAACCGAAACAAACAAAAAAUCGCGCGUUUAAUUAACGGACAUUCGGCGGGAGCAGCGCGGUCGACGCCGCAGUCGCAGUUGGCGUCGCAGUCGCCGUCGCGCAUUCGUGUGUGUUUGUGUGAGUGUGCGUGAGUUCUGUGUGAGCUGGGAUAUAAAACUGCAAUUGAUUGCAAUUUCGGCGGCAUUUGCAAAAUAGCAAGCCGGCGAAGAACAUAAAUCAGAGAAAUCAAUAAACAAAUACAAUAUACAAGCGAACAAUAAUAUACUAUUAAAAAACUUAUACAAAAGCACAACAAAUAUAAAAUCAGCACAACAAAAAUACAGCCAAACGGUUCGUCAAAUCAAGCGGAUCCCUGCAGCCAAAAUAAUCAGCAAUCUGAUGUAGCAAAAGCCAA